RNAcentral lists this ribosomal RNA (79 nucleotides) under Seriola dumerili (greater amberjack). The record is from RNAcentral. Lineage: Eukaryota; Metazoa; Chordata; Actinopteri; Carangiformes; Carangidae.
AAUCACAGAAACUUAGCAGGGUCGGGUCUGACUAGUACCUGGAUGGGAGACCACAUGGGACUACUGGGUACUGUGAGCU